This 66-nucleotide transfer RNA is filed under the name Diversibipalium multilineatum. RNAcentral's name for it is "tRNA-Ile". Lineage: Eukaryota; Metazoa; Platyhelminthes; Tricladida; Geoplanidae. The record is from RNAcentral.
GAUGUAAGGACUGCUUGGUAGGUUACUGCGAUAUAGUAAAUUUAAGAAAAAUUUUUCUCUACAUUA